This 459-nucleotide ribosomal RNA is filed under the name uncultured bacterium. RNAcentral's name for it is "partial 16S ribosomal RNA". It matches the Rfam family "Bacterial small subunit ribosomal RNA", at positions 338 to 795 of the family's 1533-position model. The record is from RNAcentral.
CCUACGGGAGGCAGCAGUGAGGAAUAUUGGUCAAUGGGAGAGAUCCUGAACCAGCCAAGCCGCGUGAGGGAAGACGGCCCUAUGGGUGGUAAACCUCUUUUGUCGGAGAACAAAACCCGGGACGAGUCCCGGACUGCGUGUAUCCGAAGAAAAAGCAUCGGCUAACUCCGUGCCAGCAGCCGCGGUAAUACGGAGGAUGCGAGCGUUAUCCGGAUUUAUUGGGGUAAAGGGGUGCGGAGGCGGUCUGUUAAGUCAGCGGUAAAAUUGCGGGGCUCAACCCCGUCUAGCCGUUGAAACUGGCAGACUUGAGUUGGCGAGAAGUACGCGGAAUGCGCGGUGUAGCGGUGAAAUGCAUAGAUAUCACGCAGAACUCCGAUUGCGAAGGCAGCAUACCGGCGCGCAACUGACGCUCAUGCACGAAAGCGUGGGUAUCGAACAGGAUUAGAUACCCUAGUAGUC